CCCUUAGAUGUUCUGGGCUGCACGCGUGCUACACUGAUAUUGCCAAUAUGUCAUUCUUAUCCGAAAUGGAUUGGGUAAUCAAGUAAUGAAAUUUCAUGCUUGGAAUCGGUAAUUGCAAUUUUAUCGUGAACGAGGAAUUCCUAGUAAGUACUAGUCAUCAGCUAAUGUUGAUUAUGUCCCUGCCCUUUGUACACACCGCCCGUCGCUACUACUGAUUGGGUGUUCAAGUGAGAUGCUUAGACCCUUGUUGCAUGGUUCAUUAUUGUGCUCCGAAAGGAAAAAGUUUCAAGCUUGAGUGUCUAGAGGAAGUAAAAGUCGUAACA
This 323-nucleotide ribosomal RNA is filed under the name uncultured eukaryote. RNAcentral's name for it is "partial 18S ribosomal RNA". It matches the Rfam family "Eukaryotic small subunit ribosomal RNA", at positions 1470 to 1796 of the family's 1831-position model. The record is from RNAcentral.